Etheostoma spectabile (orangethroat darter) is the source of this 142-nucleotide long non-coding RNA. RefSeq lists it as uncharacterized. The record is from RefSeq and is a predicted model, not a curated record. NCBI's taxonomy places the organism in Eukaryota, Metazoa, Chordata, Actinopteri, Perciformes, Percidae. The transcript has 2 exons.
AGUAGGGGUGGACAAAAAAAUAAGAUCUCGAUAUUCUUGGCAAUUUUGACAAUAACGAUAAUUAGACAAUAUCCUUUAAAAAUGCGUUUUUAAAAGUUUGAUCACAUAAUCACUGAUGAUAAUAAUGUGCACAAUGUUGUAU